Molecule: long non-coding RNA, 764 nt
Filed under: Ursus maritimus (polar bear)
Lineage: Eukaryota; Metazoa; Chordata; Mammalia; Carnivora; Ursidae
Description: lncRNA (ENSUMAG00000014707.1)
Source: RNAcentral
GGAGAAGCGGCAGAGAGGACCAUGGGCCAGGUUUCUGGCUUGGGAGCCUCUGGAUCCCCGGGGAAGGAGAGACUAUGGGAAGAGAGACAGUUGCAGCCGCGUGGGCCGGGACAUGAUGUACUCUGUUCUGGCUGGGGUGUGCAGUUGCGGUGCCCAAGGGGAGGAUGACGACAGCUGCUCUCAAGGAGCUAGAUGUGAGGCUCUACACCUCACCCGGGCAAUCCGAACCGCCGAUGGAGCUCUGGCGGGGAGUUGUUGCCGCAUUGGAGACAGAUGGUCAUCAUCCAAGUGUGCAGCUGUGGCCAAAAAGAAGUAAAGCGUGUAUUGACGGAGAAUCAAACUAAUAGAGGCACAAACAAGAGUGAAGGGAAGAGAAGAAAAGGACUCAAGGAGCAAACACAGACACGACAAUAUGGAUAUAAGCCUUUAUUUUCUCUUCAUUCCCCUCCAGUUAUUUCCCCGCAAACAUUUUAUCCGAUGAUUCCUCUUUGGAGUCAGCUCUGAAUGCGGCUACUCUCUCCCCGGGAAUAACAGCCCUCCUUCCCGGAUGUCAUUCUCCAAAUUGAAAAGCGGCUCGCUCCGUUUUCCUUUCGGUUCAUCUGCUGGCCUCACCCAGGCUCCGCUCCACUCAGCGGGUCCUUCAGGAAACCACCGCUGCCAGCCCUUAGCAUCCAAGGCACGCCACACCGGUGGCCUUAGAGAUCUGCCACUUGCGUGUCUGCAAAGAGAAUAAAGAGCUCUGCUUUGGAAAACGUUGUUUCUGC